Molecule: RNA transcript, 2036 nt
Organism: Uloborus diversus
Lineage: Eukaryota; Metazoa; Arthropoda; Arachnida; Araneae; Uloboridae
Gene name: hypoxanthine-guanine phosphoribosyltransferase-like
Exons: 9
Source: RefSeq, a predicted model, not a curated record
ACAGAACAGCGCACAUUCUUUAUUCUGCGGUUCUUUUAACUUUCGAAGGCAGUAUACCUCAACUUUUUUCUGGAAACAAUUAAAUCGUUUAUAAUGCAUCCGUGUAAAUACAUCAUAGUUUCAGAGGAAGAAGAAGGUUAUCCUUUAGAUGCUUUUUGCAUUCCUAGUCAUUAUGAAGCAUAUCUUGAAAGAGUUCUGGUACCAUGCGGACUAAUUAUGGACAGAAUUGAAAGACUUUCAAGAGAUAUUGCUCAAGAUUAUGUCAAUCAACCCUUCACUGCCCUAUGUGUUCUAAAAGGAGGCUACAAGUUUUGUGCUGAUUUAUUAGACAAAAUAAAGCAGAAUGUAAGAAACUCUGAAAAUCCAACUGGUGUAAUAUCUGUCGAUUUCAUCCGUUUGAAAAGUUAUGUGAAUGAAGAAUCCACUGGAAAGCUUAAAGUUAUGGGAAUCGACAAUCUCUCAACAUUAGCAGGAAGGAAUCUAUUAAUUGUUGAAGAUAUCAUUGAUACUGGUUUUACUAUGUCAAAUUUGCUAGUAUUACUUAAAGAGUUCAAACCAAAAUCUGUGCGAGUUGUAAGUUUGUUUGUCAAAAGGAGUCCCAAUAGCAAUGGUUAUAAACCAGAUUAUAUUGGAUUUGAAGUUCCAAACAAAUUCAUAGUUGGAUAUGCCCUUGACUACAAUGAAUAUUUCCGAGAUCUGAAUCAUGUUUGUAUUAUAAAUGAGAAAGGCAAAGUUAAAUAUGGAAAAAAAUGAAGCUGAAAUAUUUUUUAGUGGGAAGAUAUGAAUCUCAGUUUGCAACUGUGAUGUUUUAUGAAUGUAGGGCAAAGGAAGGAAAACAUUAUCAUUGGUAAUGUAAGUCAGGGAAAUUUGGUGAACUUAAUCAGGGAAAAGCCAGGAAACUUUUUUCCAGUUCCUGUCGCCACCCUGUAUAACUUAAUAAUAAAUAGGUAUAUCCUGUGAUAAACAUUUUUAAGAGUCAAAAGAAACUUCUGAUUUAUUUUCCUAUUUUGGUGCAUUGAGUGAUAAUUUGUAUCAUAUAAUUAUGAAUUAAAAUAAGCUGCAUGCAUUUUUUUGAGGCUUCAUGUUGAUUAUUUUCAUUUGUGGGUUUCAACAUAUACUUGGUUCUUAGUUAUUUAGAUAGAAACUUCAAUGUUCUUUAAAGUAGACGUCUUCUUCUAUUCCUUACAGUUGUAAAAAUAAGUUGGAAUCGAAAGAGCAUUGGAAAGCAGGUUUCUGGAGGCAUAAGUUAUUUGGUCUCGUGUCCCCAUUAUCUAAAUACGUGGUUUUAAAAUCUGCCAAAAUUUAAGAAAUGUUGCCAAAAUUAGCAAGUUUCAGUUAGUAAUGGAAGAGGUCUUUCACAGGACUUGUAGAUGAAUGCAGAUGGUGAAAUUUCGUGAUAAAUUUCUUGCCAAGUCUUCAAAUUUGACCUCUUUUCAAAAAUUUCGGCAGAGUUUAAGACCCUAUAUCUUGAUAACAGGUGGACGAGGACAUUUAAUUUUUGCAUCAAAAAUAUGUCUCAAGAUGCUCUUUCGAUUGUUAUCUAUUUAACAUUUUUUUGUUAUACUAUUUGUGUGUUUUUUUUAGUUUGCUGAUAUCAGGUGGAUUCAGUAAAAGCCACUACGCCUCAAAGGUUUUUUAUCCUUUAAACAACUUUUGGAAUUGCCAUGUAUUUUUUGUCCAAAAAAAAAAAAAAGCUAUAGUGUAUUCAUCGAGAAGUGAAAGGGGAAGUAAACAAAACAAUGACACUUGGCGAUAAGGUUGUUGCUUGGCGCUAGGAUUAUUGAAAACAGCACCAAUCAUAUAAGCGAUUUCAUAAAUGAAAUUGCCAAUCCAAUGAAGAAUUCAUGAAAGUGAUAAAUGUUGGCACCAAACUAACAUCAACCCUUUUGUUUACUUUUGCUAUCACUUCUCCCUGAAUCCACUGUUUGAUGGGCUAAAAUGAAGCCACAUGCCUCAGAGGGUUGGGUAUUUCUAAUAUUGUUUGUUGGAGUCUAAUGUUGUUUCUGUAAUGAAAUUAUUUGAGAGGAAGGAAUAAA